RNAcentral lists this ribosomal RNA (488 nucleotides) under uncultured bacterium. RNAcentral's name for it is "partial 16S ribosomal RNA". It matches the Rfam family "Bacterial small subunit ribosomal RNA", at positions 30 to 523 of the family's 1533-position model. The record is from RNAcentral.
AUUGAACGCUGGCGGCAGGCCUAACACAUGCAAGUCGAGCGGGGUUUUCGGACCUAGCGGCGGACGGGUGAGUAAUGCGUAGGAAGCUGCCCGAUAGAGGGGGAUACCAGUUGGAAACGACUGUUAAUACCGCAUAAUGUCUACGGACCAAAGUGUGGGACCUUCGGGCCACAUGCUAUCGGAUGCGCCUACGUGGGAUUAGCUAGUUGGUGAGGUAAUGGCUCACCAAGGCGACGAUCUCUAGCUGGUUUGAGAGGAUGAUCAGCCACACUGGAACUGAGACACGGUCCAGACUCCUACGGGAGGCGGCAGUGGGGAAUAUUGGACAAUGGGCGCAAGCCUGAUCCAGCCAUGCCGCGUGUGUGAAGAAGGCCUUCGAGUUGUAAAGCACUUUCAGCGAGGAGGAAGGGGUUGUAGUUAAUAGCUGCAACCUUUGACGUUACUCGCAGAAGAAGCACCGGCUAACUCUGUGCCAGCCGCCGCGGUAA